AUUCAGACAGGCAGAAGUGCCCUGUGCAGAGCACGAGCAAAGUGUUGGAUUUAAAUCCCUUUAGGCACGCCCUAUUAAUGCUCUUGUGUAUCACACUGUGAGCAGAUUCAUUCAUUCUCUAACAUUUGCUGAGCCCUAUCUAUGUCCUGGCCAUGGUGCUCAGCGCUGGGUACAGAAGGGGGAACAGAUGACACCCUGACUCCCGAAGCUCUGGAUUUGAUUUCGUAGCAUGAGGCAGACAAGCACAGCAACAAGAUCACAGCCAUCAACAGCUGCCUCAGAUGCCAGCUGUGCACACUGGAGACACAGAAUGAGAGAGACUCCUGGACAAACUGAGACCUGACAGGUGAACCAAGGUCCUGGUGGAGCAACUAUGUCUGAUGGAUGCAAACUUGCUACCUACAAAUCACGGAGCUAAGCAUCAACCUGAGUGGCUAAUGAUCAUCUUAAUUAACCCACAAGACUUUAUGCAUGGCUGGUAUUCAUCCAACCUUUUGAUCCUAGACAGGAAUCUAUUAAAGACCGUUGAGAGAAUGAAAAGACAAAAUCCAACUUCCAUAAGCAGAAUUGUUAAGAGGAAAGACAGAAGAAUGAUCUUUGAUCAGAGAGGCGAAUGCCAACACAGCAGCUUCUUACUCUAUUUAUUAGCUUGGGAUCUUUGCCAGAAGAUUUUUCUCUGUCAACCAUUUCCAGACUUGUAGGUUGUCAUUGCUAAGACUGGAAUGACAGGUAUGGGCCUUCAUUCAUCUCCUCCUCCUCCUCCUCCUCCUCCUCCUCCUCCUCCUCCCCCUCCUCCUCCUCCUCCUCCUCCUCUUCCUCCUCCUCCUCCUCCUCC
Long non-coding RNA from Rattus norvegicus (Norway rat), 835 nucleotides. RefSeq lists it as uncharacterized. Lineage: Eukaryota; Metazoa; Chordata; Mammalia; Rodentia; Muridae. The record is from RefSeq and is a predicted model, not a curated record.